This 232-nucleotide ribosomal RNA is filed under the name uncultured bacterium. RNAcentral's name for it is "partial 16S ribosomal RNA". It matches the Rfam family "Bacterial small subunit ribosomal RNA", at positions 118 to 347 of the family's 1533-position model. The record is from RNAcentral.
UGAGCAAUCUGCCCUUCUCUUUGGAAUAAGCGUUGGAAACGACGUCUAAUGCCGAAUACGACCUCCUUUCGCAUGAUCGGAGGUGGAAAGCUCCGGCGGAGAAGGAUGAGCUCGCGGCCUAUCAGCUAGUUGGUGUGGGUAAUGGCCCACCAAGGCGACGACGGGUAGCCGGCCUGAGAGGGUGACCGGCCACACUGGGACUGAGACACGGCCCAGACUCCUACGGGAGNAG